This 164-nucleotide ribosomal RNA is filed under the name Escherichia coli. Its description in RNAcentral is "partial 16S ribosomal RNA". It matches the Rfam family "Bacterial small subunit ribosomal RNA", at positions 1 to 156 of the family's 1533-position model. The record is from RNAcentral. Lineage: Bacteria; Pseudomonadati; Pseudomonadota; Gammaproteobacteria; Enterobacterales; Enterobacteriaceae. RNAcentral also lists the same sequence under 17 other names.
UUAAAUUGAAGAGUUUGAUCAUGGCUCAGAUUGAACGCUGGCGGCAGGCCUAACACAUGCAAGUCGAACGGUAACAGGAAGCAGCUUGCUGCUUUGCUGACGAGUGGCGGACGGGUGAGUAAUGUCUGGGAAACUGCCUGAUGGAGGGGGAUAACUACUGGAAA